RNAcentral lists this ribosomal RNA (1001 nucleotides) under uncultured Bilophila sp. RNAcentral's name for it is "bacterial SSU rRNA". It matches the Rfam family "Bacterial small subunit ribosomal RNA", at positions 1 to 935 of the family's 1533-position model. Lineage: Bacteria; Pseudomonadati; Thermodesulfobacteriota; Desulfovibrionia; Desulfovibrionales; Desulfovibrionaceae. The record is from RNAcentral.
GCGUUGGGAGCUCUCCCNUAUGGUCGACCUGCAGGCGGCCGCGAAUUCACUAGUGAUUAGAGUUUGAUCCUGGCUCAGAUUGAACGCUGGCGGCGUGCUUAACACAUGCAAGUCGAACGUGAAAGUCCUUCGGGGCGAGUAAAGUGGCGCACGGGUGAGUAACGCGUGGAUAAUCUACCCUUAAGAUGGGGAUAACGGCUGGAAACGGUCGCUAAUACCGAAUACGCUCCCGAUUUUAUCAUUGGGGGGAAAGAUGGCCUCUGCUUGCAAGCUAUCGCUUAAGGAUGAGUCCGCGUCCCAUUAGCUAGUUGGCGGGGUAACGGCCCACCAAGGCAACGAUGGGUAGCCGGUCUGAGAGGAUGACCGGCCACACUGGAACUGGAACACGGUCCAGACUCCUACGGGAGGCAGCAGUGGGGAAUAUUGCGCAAUGGGCGAAAGCCUGACGCAGCGACGCCGCGUGAGGGAUGAAGGUUCUCGGAUCGUAAACCUCUGUCAGGGGGGAAGAAACCCCCUCGUGUGAAUAAUGCGAGGGCUUGACGGUACCCCCAAAGGAAGCACCGGCUAACUCCGUGCCAGCAGCCGCGGUAAUACGGAGGGUGCAAGCGUUAAUCGGAAUCACUGGGCGUAAAGCGCACGUAGGCGGCUUGGUAAGUCAGGGGUGAAAUCCCACAGCCCAACUGUGGACCUGCCUUUGAUACUGCCAGGCUUGAGUACCGGAGAGGGUGGCGGAAUUCCAGGUGUAGGAGUGAAAUCCGUAGAUAUCUGGAGGAACACCGGUGGCGAAGGCGGCCACCUGGACGGUAACUGACGCUGANGUGCGAAAGCGUGGGUAGCAAACAGGAUUAGAUACCCUGGUAGUCCACGCUGUAAACGAUGGGUGCUGGGUGCUGGGAUGUAUGUCUCGGUGCCGUAGCUNACGCGAUAAGCACCCCGCCNGGGGAGUACGGGUCGCAAGGCUGAAACUCAAAGAAAUUGACGGGGGCCCGCACAAGCGGNGG